Molecule: non-coding RNA, 117 nt
Organism: Ascosphaera atra
Lineage: Eukaryota; Fungi; Ascomycota; Eurotiomycetes; Onygenales; Ascosphaeraceae
Source: the annotation of a GenBank genome assembly
GGCAAGAUGGCCGAGCGGUCCAAGGCGCUGCACUCAAGUUUCCUCAACUUGUUCCUGCAUCAACAGGAAUGCAUUGCAGUCUCGAAAGGGGCGUGGGUUCGAAUCCCACUCUUGUCA